Molecule: ribosomal RNA, 417 nt
Filed under: uncultured bacterium
Lineage: Bacteria
Description: bacterial SSU rRNA
Rfam family: Bacterial small subunit ribosomal RNA
Source: RNAcentral
UCGGGAAUAUUGCGCAAUGGAGGAAACUCUGACGCAGUGACGCCGCGUAUGGGAAGAAGGUUUUCGGAUUGUAAACCAUUUUAGACAGGGAAGAAACAAGACAGUACCUGUAGAAUAAGCUCCGGCUAACUACGUGCCAGCAGCCGCGGUAAUACGUAGGGAGCAAGCGUUAUCCGGAAUUAUUGGGUGUAAAGGGUGCGUAGACGGGAAAGUAAGUUAGUUGUGAAAUCCCUCGGCUUAACUGAGGAACUGCAACUAAAACUGUUUUUUCUUGAGUGCUGGAGAGGAAAGUGGAAUUCCUAGUGUAGCGGUGAAAUGCGUAGAUAUUAGGAGGAACAUCAGUGGCGAAGGCGACUUUCUGGACAGUAACUGACGUUGAGGCACGAAAGUGUGGGGAGCAAAACAGGAUUAGAUACC